UGUUCCUGACCUUAGUGGAAAUGCCCCUAGGGUUUUACAUUAAGGUGCUGCUCCAUAUCAAUCAAGAACAAAGCGACCCUUUGUUUAUGCCAGCUUGGCUUUUAGUCUGUGCCCAUGCCUGGUUUAUGUCUUGAACACAAGA
Molecule: small nucleolar RNA, 142 nt
Organism: Tupaia belangeri (northern tree shrew)
Lineage: Eukaryota; Metazoa; Chordata; Mammalia; Scandentia; Tupaiidae
Source: Ensembl